This 83-nucleotide transfer RNA is filed under the name Deltaproteobacteria bacterium. RNAcentral's name for it is "tRNA-Leu". It matches the Rfam family "tRNA". From Rfam's summary of the family: Transfer RNA (tRNA) molecules are approximately 80 nucleotides in length. Their secondary structure includes four short double-helical elements and three loops (D, anti-codon, and T loops). The record is from RNAcentral. Lineage: Bacteria; Pseudomonadati; Myxococcota; Myxococcia.
GCCGAAGUGGCGGAAUGGCAGACGCAGCGGAUUCAAAAUCCGCCGUCCUUACGGGCGUGAGGGUUCAAGUCCCUCCUUCGGCA